GCCAGACUCCUACGGGAGGCAGCAGUGGGGAAUAUUGCACAAUGGGGGGAACCCUGAUGCAGCGACGCCGCGUGAAGGAAGAAGUAUCUCGGUAUGUAAACUUCUAUCAGCAGGGAAGAAAGAGGACGGUACCUGACUAAGAAGCCCCGGCUAACUACGUGCCAGCAGCCGCGGUAAUACGUAGGGGGCGAGCGUUGUCCGGAAUUACUGGGUGUAAAGGGAGCGCAGGCGGGAAGCCAAGUCAGCUGUGAAAACUACGGGCUUAACUUGUAGACUGCAGUUGAAACUGGUUUUCUUGAGUGAAGUAGAGGUUGGCGGAAUUCCGAGUGUAGCGGUGAAAUGCGUAGAUAUUCGGAGGAACACCGGUGGCGAAGGCGGCCAACUGGGCUUUAACUGACGCUGAGGCUCGAAAGUGUGGGGAGCAAGCAGGAUUAGAUACCCUCGUACU
RNAcentral lists this ribosomal RNA (448 nucleotides) under uncultured bacterium. RNAcentral's name for it is "bacterial SSU rRNA". It matches the Rfam family "Bacterial small subunit ribosomal RNA", at positions 330 to 794 of the family's 1533-position model. The record is from RNAcentral.